GACAGAGGGUGCAAACGUUGUUCGGAAUUACUGGGCGUAAAGCGCGUGUAGGCGGCCCUGCAAGUCGGAUGUGAAAUCCCACGGCUCAACCGUGGAAGUGCAUUCGAAACUGCAGGGCUAGAGUCCUGGAGAGGAAGGUGGAAUGCUUGGUGUAGAGGUGAAAUUCGUAGAUAUCAAGCGGAACACCGGUGGCGAAGGCGGCCUUCUGGACAGUGACUGACGCUGAGACGCGAAAGCGUGGGGAGCGAACGGG
RNAcentral lists this ribosomal RNA (253 nucleotides) under uncultured bacterium. RNAcentral's name for it is "partial 16S ribosomal RNA". It matches the Rfam family "Bacterial small subunit ribosomal RNA", at positions 524 to 776 of the family's 1533-position model. The record is from RNAcentral.